This 618-nucleotide long non-coding RNA is filed under the name Mytilus galloprovincialis (Mediterranean mussel). The record is from RNAcentral. Lineage: Eukaryota; Metazoa; Mollusca; Bivalvia; Mytilida; Mytilidae.
GGCCAAUAAUUAAAAAUCUAAGUACAUUUUUUAAAUUCAGCAUAUCAAAGAACCCCAAGGAUUCAAUUUUUGUUAAAAUCAAACUAAGUUUAAUUUUGGACCCUUUGAACCUUAAUGUAGACCAAUUUGAAAACGGGACCAAAAAUUAAGAAUCUACAUACAUAGUUAGAUUCGGCAUAUCAAAGAACCCCAAUUAUUCAAUUUUUGAUGAAAUCACACAAAGUUCAAUUUUGGACCCUUUGGGCCCCUUAUUCCUAAACUGUUAGGACCAAAACUCCCAAAAUCAAACCAAACCUUCCUUUUAUGGUCAUAAUGCUUAUUUGGGCCCCUUUUUGGCCCCUAAUUCAUAAACAGUUGUGACCUCAACUCCAAAAAUCAAUCCCAACCUUCCUUUUGUGGUCAUAAACCUUGUGUUAAAAUUUCAUUGAUUUCUAUUUACUUAUACUAAAGUAAUUGUGCGAAAACCAAGAAUAAUGCUUAUUUGGGCCCCUUUUUUGGCCCUUAAUUCCUAAACUGUUGGAACCAAAACUCCCAAAAUCAAUCCCAACCUUCCUUUUGUGGUCAUAAACCUUGUGUCAAAAUUUCAUAGAUUUCUAUUCAUUUAAACUAAAGUUAUAG